Molecule: transfer RNA, 69 nt
Filed under: Poropuntius huangchuchieni
Lineage: Eukaryota; Metazoa; Chordata; Actinopteri; Cypriniformes; Cyprinidae
Description: tRNA-Met
Source: RNAcentral
GGCGGGGUCAGCUAAUAAAGCUUUCGGGCCCAUACCCCGAACAUGGUAGUUAAAAUCUACCCCCUCCCA